Molecule: long non-coding RNA, 795 nt
Organism: Maylandia zebra (zebra mbuna)
Lineage: Eukaryota; Metazoa; Chordata; Actinopteri; Cichliformes; Cichlidae
Source: RefSeq, a predicted model, not a curated record
GAAGGAUGUACAGGGGCACCUGCAGCCAAAUCCAAGCCUCAGAGCAGCAGUUUGUGCUCACAGAUGGUGACGGUGUGGAGAGACGGUGGUGUUUCCUCAGAAGAACCAGCAGAGUCACAAAGGACACCAGUCCAUCUCACCACCUUGACUUGCUGACUGAUGUUCGUCUGCACUGCACAGAGGAAAUCAGCUGACCGAGGAGUGUUUCUGAGUGAGGGGGAGAGGAGUCAUCAUCCAGGUAAAGUGACGUGGAUCAGUGGAUACACUUGUCUCCCCUUUAAAGGAGACGAUCCAAGUCAUCCUUAAAUAUGGGCAGCAUAUCAGUCUUGGACUGUCUAACCUGCAGCACUGAAUGACCACCACACAUGAGCAUGUUCCUGCAACAUUCAGCAUCUGAUCCUUCAUCUGUGUGCUUCUGCUUUUGUGUCACAUGUCAAACAGCUGGAGAGGAAACUACACCAGUGUACUGGGAUGUUUCAGCAACACGUGCCAGAUGCUGUUCCUUCAUGGUGACAUCACCAGAGACAGCCCCGCCCACCUCAGGACCUCACCAUUGAUCAUGAAGAUUAUAAUGAUGACAGCGAGCGGAACUAAGACUGUAAAAAUCCACGACCAGAAUUUUUCUUUCUAAUUAUUAAUGAAUACUGAGAGCCUCGUUCUGUGUUUUGUCUGUUUUGUUUUUUACCUCAUUUGUUUCUAACAAAGUUCACAAACUCACACAGUUUACAUUCUGUAUGUUUCCAUCUUUACCAGCCACACUCUUAACUGCAUUUAAGAAAAUAAUCCUUAGAAAUC